GACGAACGCUGGCGGCGUGCUUAACACAUGCAAGUCGAACGGAAAGGCCCUGCUUUUGUGGGGUGCUCGAGUGGCGAACGGGUUAGUAACACGUGAGUAACCUGCCCUUGACUUUGGGAUAACUUCAGGAAACUGGGGCUAAUACCGGAUAGGAGCUCCUUCUGCAUGGUUGGGGUUGGAAAGUUUCGGCGGUUGGGGAUGGACUCGCGGCUUAUCAGCUUGUUGGUGGGGUAGUGGCUUACCAAGGCUUUGACGGGUAGCCGGCCUGAGAGGGUGACCGGCCACAUUGGGACUGAGAUACGGCCCAGACUCCUACGGGAGGCAGCAGUGGGGAAUAUUGCACAAUGGGCGGAAGCCUGAUGCAGCAACGCCGCGUGCGGGAUGACGGCCUUCGGGUUGUAAACCGCUUUCGCCUGUGACGAAGCGUGAGUGACGGUAAUGGGUAAAGAAGCACCGGCUAACUACGUG
Molecule: ribosomal RNA, 468 nt
Filed under: uncultured bacterium
Lineage: Bacteria
Description: partial 16S ribosomal RNA
Rfam family: Bacterial small subunit ribosomal RNA
Source: RNAcentral